UCGGCCGUACCAUGCUGAAUAUACCGGUUCUCGUUAGAUCACCGAAGUUAAGCAUCAUUGGGCGCGGUCAGUACUUGGGUGGGUGACCACCUGGGAACACUGCGUGCCGUU
RNAcentral lists this ribosomal RNA (111 nucleotides) under Caerostris darwini. Lineage: Eukaryota; Metazoa; Arthropoda; Arachnida; Araneae; Araneidae. The record is from RNAcentral.